This 506-nucleotide ribosomal RNA is filed under the name uncultured bacterium. RNAcentral's name for it is "partial 16S ribosomal RNA". It matches the Rfam family "Bacterial small subunit ribosomal RNA", at positions 29 to 523 of the family's 1533-position model. The record is from RNAcentral.
AGUGAACGCUGGCGGUAGGCCUAACACAUGCAAGUCGAACGGCAGCACAGGAGAGCUUGCUCUCUGGGUGGCGAGUGGCGGACGGGUGAGGAAUACAUCGGAAUCUACUCUGUCGUGGGGGAUAACGUAGGGAAACUUACGCUAAUACCGCAUACGACCUACGGGUGAAAGCAGGGGACCUGCGGGCCUUGCGCGAUUGAAUGAGCCGAUGUCGGAUUAGCUAGUUGGCGGGGUAAAGGCCCACCAAGGCGACGAUCCGUAGCUGGUCUGAGAGGAUGAUCAGCCACACUGGAACUGAGACACGGUCCAGACUCCUACGGGAGGCAGCAGUGGGGAAUAUUGGACAAUGGGCGCAAGCCUGAUCCAGCCAUACCGCGUGGGUGAAGAAGGCCUUCGGGUUGUAAAGCCCUUUUGUUGGGAAAGAAAUCCAGCUGGCUAAUACCCGGUUGGGAUGACGGUACCCAAAGAAUAAACACCGGCUAACUUCGUGCCAGCAGCCGCCGUAA